UGGCGACCGGCGCACGGGUGAGUAACGCGUAUGCAACUUGCCUAUCAGAGGGGGAUAACCCGGCGAAAGUCGGACUAAUACCGCAUGAAGCAGGGAUCCCGCAUGGGGAUAUUUGCUAAAGAUUCAUCGCUGAUAGAUAGGCAUGCGUUCCAUUAGGCAGUUGGCGGGGUAACGGCCCACCAAACCGACGAUGGAUAGGGGUUCUGAGAGGAAGGUCCCCCACAUUGGUACUGAGACACGGACCAAACUCCUACGGGAGGCAGCAGUGAGGAAUAUUGGUCAAUGGCCGAGAGGCUGAACCAGCCAAGUCGCGUGAGGGAUGAAGGUUCUAUGGAUCGUAAACCUCUUUUAUAAGGGAAUAAAGUGCGGGACGUGUCCCGUUUUGUAUGUACCUUAUGAAUAAGGAUCGGCUAACUCCGUGCCAGCAGCCGCGGUAAUACGGAGGAUCCGAGCGUUAUCCGGAUUUAUUGGGUUUAAAGGGUGCGUAGGCGGCCUUUUAAGUCAGCGGUGAAAGUCUGUGGCUCAACCAUAGAAUUGCCGUUGAAACUGGGGGGCUUGAGUAUGUUUGAGGCAGGCGGAAUGCGUGGUGUAGCGGUGAAAUGCAUAGAUAUCACGCAGAACCCCGAUUGCGAAGGCAGCCUGCCAGGCCAUUACUGACGCUGAUGCAC
RNAcentral lists this ribosomal RNA (668 nucleotides) under uncultured Bacteroidales bacterium. RNAcentral describes it as "bacterial SSU rRNA". It matches the Rfam family "Bacterial small subunit ribosomal RNA", at positions 89 to 754 of the family's 1533-position model. Lineage: Bacteria; Pseudomonadati; Bacteroidota; Bacteroidia; Bacteroidales. The record is from RNAcentral.